CAGCCGCCGCGGUAAUACGAAGGGUGCAAGCGUUAAUCGGAAUUACUGGGCGUAAAGGGCUCGCAGGCGGUUUCUUAAGUCUGAUGUGAAAGCCCCCGGCUCAACCGGGGAGGGUCAUUGGAAACUGGGAAACUUGAGUGCAGAAGAGGAGAGUGGAAUUCCACGUGUAGCGGUGAAAUGCGUAGAGAUGUGGAGGAACACCAGUGGCGAAGGCGACUCUCUGGUCUGUAACUGACGCUGAGGAGCGAAAGCGUGGGGAGCGAACAGGAUUAGAUACCCCGGUAGUCCCUGUCUCUUAACC
RNAcentral lists this ribosomal RNA (301 nucleotides) under uncultured bacterium. Its description in RNAcentral is "partial 16S ribosomal RNA". It matches the Rfam family "Bacterial small subunit ribosomal RNA", at positions 509 to 808 of the family's 1533-position model. The record is from RNAcentral.